ACAGCAGUAGCCACGGUAAUACGUAGGGUGCAAGCGUUAAUCGGAAUUACUGGGCGUAAAGCGUGCGCAGGCGGUUAUAUAAGACAGAUGUGAAAUCCCCGGGCUCAACCUGGGAACUGCAUUUGUGACUGUAUAGCUAGAGUACGGCAGAGGGGGAUGGAAUUCCGCGUGUAGCAGUGAAAUGCGUAGAUAUGCGGAGGAACACCGAUGGCGAAGGCAAUCCCCUGGGCCUGUACUGACGCUCAUGCACGAAAGCGUGGGGAGCAAACAGGAUUAGAUACCCGUGUAGUCCCUGUCUCUUAUAC
Molecule: ribosomal RNA, 305 nt
Filed under: uncultured bacterium
Lineage: Bacteria
Description: partial 16S ribosomal RNA
Rfam family: Bacterial small subunit ribosomal RNA
Source: RNAcentral